This 497-nucleotide ribosomal RNA is filed under the name uncultured bacterium. Its description in RNAcentral is "bacterial SSU rRNA". It matches the Rfam family "Bacterial small subunit ribosomal RNA", at positions 15 to 507 of the family's 1533-position model. The record is from RNAcentral.
GAUCAUGGCUCAGGAUGAACGCUAGCUACAGGCUUAACACAUGCAAGUCGAGGGGCAGCGCAGUGUAGCAAUACAUGGGCGGCGACCGGCGCACGGUGCGUAACGCGUAUCCAACCUUCCCGUUACUCUUGGAUAGCCUUCCGAAAGGGAGAUUAAUACAAGAUGGUAUUCAAAUUUCGCAUGUUAUUUGAAUUAAAGAUUUAUCGGUAACGGAUGGGGAUGCGUGACAUUAGGUAGAUGGCGGGGUAACGGCCCACCAUGCCUACGAUGUCUAGGGGUUCUGAGAGGAAGGUCCCCCACACUGGAACUGAGACACGGUCCAGACUCCUACGGGAGGCAGCAGUGAGGAAUAUUGGUCAAUGGUCUGACGACUGAACCAGCCAUGCCGCGUGAAGGUGACGGCCCUAUGGGUCUUAAACUUCUUUUGUAAGGGAGCAAUAAGGUGUACGUGUACAUCGAUGAGAGUACCUUACGAAUAAGCAUCGGCUAACUCCGUG